RNAcentral lists this ribosomal RNA (457 nucleotides) under uncultured bacterium. RNAcentral describes it as "bacterial SSU rRNA". It matches the Rfam family "Bacterial small subunit ribosomal RNA", at positions 340 to 786 of the family's 1533-position model. The record is from RNAcentral.
UACGGGAGGCAGCAGUGGGGAAUAUUGCACAAUGGGCGAAAGCCUGAUGCAGCUAUGCCGCGUGUAUGAAGAAGGCCUUAGGGUUGUAAAGUACUUUCAUCGGGGAGGAAAAACAAAACUAAUAAUUUUAUUUCUUGACGUUACCCGAAAAAGAAGCACCGGCUAACUCCGUGCCAGCAGCCGCGGUAAUACGGAGGGUGCUAGCGUUAAUCAGAAUUACUGGGCGUAAAGAGCACGUAGGUGGUUUUUUUAAGUCAGAUGUGAAAUCCCCUGGGCUUAACCUAGGAACUGCAUUUUGAAACUGAAAUACUAGAGUAUCGUAGAGGGAGGUAGAAUUCUAGGUGUAGCGGUGAAAUGCGUAGAUAUCUGGAGGAAUACCUGUGGCGAAAGCGGCCUCCUAAACGAAUACUGACACUGAGGUGCGAAAAGCGUGGGGAGCAAACAGGGAUUAGAUACC